GGGAAGGUGGCUCAGUGGUAGAGCGCUUGCCUAGCAUACAUGAAGCCCUAGGUUCGAUUCCUCAGUACCA
Non-coding RNA from Dipodomys ordii (Ord's kangaroo rat), 70 nucleotides. NCBI's taxonomy places the organism in Eukaryota, Metazoa, Chordata, Mammalia, Rodentia, Heteromyidae. The record is from Rfam.